CUUUCUCAGGAAGGAGGGAAGAGAAAAAGGGAUGUGAGCUCAUUUCAACUCCUGAUCAAGACCACACUGACUUUACUAAGUGCCUUAAAAUGCUCCAAAAGAAGAUAGAAGAAAAAGACUUAAAGGUUGAUGUGAUCGUGACACUGGGAGGCCUUGCUGGGCGUUUUGACCAGAUUAUGGCAUCUGUGAAUACCUUGUUCCAAGCGACUCACAUCACUCCUUUUCCAAUUAUAAUAAUCCAAGAGGAAUCGCUGAUCUACCUGCUCCAACCAGUAAGUCAAAAGUGAAUAUAAUGUGAGCCCUUUCCUUCACAAAGCUUCUACCACUUGAGUAGACUAGAAGAAAACAUUGGCCCUGCUUGGGUCUUCGAACUGUGAGUGGAAUUGAACAUGUGCGCUUUCUUGUGGCCACUUUAGUUUUGCCCCAGGUCACUGACCAGCAAAAAUGUGGAGGAGAAUCCUGAAAGUUUUCAUUUUAUUGUGUCUAAAAAACAAGAGAAAGUGUUGUAACUCUAAAUUGACUAAGAAUUAAAUUGAGCACUUUUGCGUUUUGAACAGC
RNAcentral lists this small RNA (558 nucleotides) under Pan troglodytes (chimpanzee). Its description in RNAcentral is "processed transcript". Lineage: Eukaryota; Metazoa; Chordata; Mammalia; Primates; Hominidae. The record is from RNAcentral.